UCCCUGGUGGCUCAGAUGGUAAAGCGUCUGCCUGCAAUGCAGGAGACCCGGCUUCAAUUCCUGGGUUGGGAA
This is a non-coding RNA of Bos taurus (domestic cattle), 72 nucleotides long. The record is from Rfam. NCBI's taxonomy places the organism in Eukaryota, Metazoa, Chordata, Mammalia, Artiodactyla, Bovidae.